UCCCCUCCCCUCCCCUCCCCAACUCUGCGUGGUGGAGACCCGGAUGAUCUGCUCUUACUAAUCUCCACCGUCAAUCUGAAGGUACACCGAAGCAAUGGAAGGCCGACGCAUGAAACAAUUUAUACUCCUCUGUCUCCCAACUCUUGGCACCCGUGUUGCUCUCGUAGGUGGUAACCACACCGCUGCCCGCUUCUGCACUCGCUAAUCUCACCUCCCGCUCUCCGGCAUUCUCUCCCCCUCGUCUCUCUCCC
RNAcentral lists this long non-coding RNA (251 nucleotides) under Elaeis guineensis (African oil palm). RNAcentral's name for it is "long non-coding RNA (EGUI_LNC007184)". Lineage: Eukaryota; Viridiplantae; Streptophyta; Magnoliopsida; Arecales; Arecaceae. The record is from RNAcentral.